GAAUGAACGCUGGCGGCAUGCCUAACACAUGCAAGUCGAACGAAUGCCCUUCGGGGUGUUAGUGGCGCACGGGUGCGUAACGCGUGGGAAUCUGCCCUUGGGUUCGGAAUAACAGUUGGAAACGACUGCUAAUACCGGAUGAUGACGUAAGUCCAAAGAUUUAUCGCCCAGGGAUGAGCCCGCGUAGGAUUAGGUAGUUGGUGUGGUAAAGGCGCACCAAGCCGACGAUCCUUAGCUGGUCUGAGAGGAUGAUCAGCCACACUGGGACUGAGACACGGCCCAGACUCCUACGGGAGGCAGCAGUGGGGAAUAUUGGACAAUGGGCGAAAGCCUGAUCCAGCAAUGCCGCGUGAGUGAUGAAGGCCUUAGGGUUGUAAAGCUCUUUUACCCGGGAUGAUAAUGACAGUA
RNAcentral lists this ribosomal RNA (408 nucleotides) under Sphingomonas sp. Its description in RNAcentral is "bacterial SSU rRNA". It matches the Rfam family "Bacterial small subunit ribosomal RNA", at positions 27 to 459 of the family's 1533-position model. Lineage: Bacteria; Pseudomonadati; Pseudomonadota; Alphaproteobacteria; Sphingomonadales; Sphingomonadaceae. The record is from RNAcentral.